Molecule: transfer RNA, 72 nt
Filed under: Marmota monax (woodchuck)
Lineage: Eukaryota; Metazoa; Chordata; Mammalia; Rodentia; Sciuridae
Rfam family: tRNA
About the family: Transfer RNA (tRNA) molecules are approximately 80 nucleotides in length. Their secondary structure includes four short double-helical elements and three loops (D, anti-codon, and T loops).
Source: Rfam by way of RNAcentral
GGGGUUGUAACUCACUGGUAGAGCGCUUGCCUGGCACGCAUGAAGCCCUGGGUUUGAUCCCCAGCAUCACCU